GGUUAUCUCCAUCUUUUCCUGCCCAUCAUAUCCACUACUACAAACAGUUUUGGGUUUGAUUUCUCCCACGUCCCCUCCCCACGGUUCUUGUAACUUCCUACCCUUCCUUUUAAUAGGGAUCUCAAACCUACAUUUUUGCCAUUCCCCUUCAUCGCUCUGUAUCAAUCCAUUGCUCUUUGAAAAGUAAAAGUGAAGCAUCGAUUUCGUCGCAACACCGAUUCCAAGCAUUUGUGUGUGUGUAAUUUCCAGUUAAAACUCAAGAACCAACCAAGGGUUUGUUGUUUGAUCAGGAUUGAGAUGGCGAGUUCAGUAGAGGCUGCCGGAGAACCUGUUCCGAUGUCGGCGGUGCUAAUGUCGGCGUCGAAGCACAUCGCCGUAAGAUGAAGAGUGUUUGUUUGUCGGUGCUUUCAAGUCAAAUUCAGACAGUCUCCUUACAGCGAUACAGCCUCCUAAGCUCUGCUGGAAAGGUUUUUGAUGCUAUCAAUUUGCAAUCCGCAAGGCGUUGUGAUAUGAUGUGCGGUUGAGAUAUAUACGCAUCUUAAUCGAUCAAUGCUCAUUUGGUCUGUUUUCAAAGAAAGAAGAAAAAGGUCAAAGAGAAAGAAGAGUCGGAUGAUAAGCAAACAUCAGGGUAUCAAGUUCAGUCUAGGCUUCAACUGCUACAAGGACUAUUAUACGUAAAGGAACCGUACUGAUGUAUUCUAGGAAGCAAUCGUUUCUCAUCAUUUAUAAUGGACGAUGUACAUUGGGAGAUCUGGAUACAUAUCUAUCAUUGGGAGCAAAGCUUACUUGCUUAUUGCUGUUGUUGGCGCCUGUACGGUUGCAAACUUGCAACAACCCAGGUGAAAAGGGUUUGAAGUAGGUGAAACUCUUGAUAUGUUAAAGAAUAAAGAGUCCAAUGAUAAUGGGGAUAAGAGACAAGUCUAGGGGAUGCCGACACCAAGAACAACGACAUGACCAUCAUUUUGUCACAGUGGCGUUAUUGAAACUCUCCCUGCCUACUCUGAAGAUAACAAUGGACAUUAGGGCUUGAUCAAAUACAACUCUAAACUUGGUUGCAUGCCAAUCACAGUACCCAUCAUUUGAGUGGUAUAAAGGUUUGAAGAGAUGGAAAGGCGUAAACUAGGAGAGAUUUCCAUUGAAGACCUGCCAAGUGUCUUGAAGCUGAGGAAUGAACUUUGCCUAGCGCGCAGGCACACACACACCGGAUGUGUAUACAACUAAUGUUUUUGUUUGGAAUGCAAAGCCCGUCCACCGGACGAGUAUUAAACUAGUUUUAAUGAUUUAAAACAUCCAUAUAUGCUUAAGAAAGUUAAUAUUAUUUUCUUUGUAAAAUCCAUGGUUGUCACACCACUUUCUGAGGCGGAAGCACGAGGUGUGAUCUUGAAAAGUUAUCAUUCCAUACGAUAAGUAAACAUACUGCAUGAUAUAAAACAAACUCCAAUUUGCAAUUCCAAAGUUUAAUCAUCCAAAAAACAAUUUAGUUUAAAGUUUACAUCUCAACAAAAGAUAAUUACUUGAAAGUUUACAACA
This 1530-nucleotide long non-coding RNA is filed under the name Helianthus annuus (common sunflower). Lineage: Eukaryota; Viridiplantae; Streptophyta; Magnoliopsida; Asterales; Asteraceae. The record is from RNAcentral.